This 2992-nucleotide long non-coding RNA is filed under the name Macaca fascicularis (crab-eating macaque). Its description in RNAcentral is "lncRNA (ENSMFAG00000040000.2)". The record is from RNAcentral. Lineage: Eukaryota; Metazoa; Chordata; Mammalia; Primates; Cercopithecidae.
UUAGAAAAGCCAAAAACUUUAAUUUCAACAUGAGCUACAUGGUCAUGAACACAAUGCAACGCGACCCCACUCCAACCCAGGGGCCCCAGAAACCCUCCCUCCCUAAAGGCCUGGGCAGCUCCUGCUCCAAGAGAAGGAAAUGAGGGAAAGGUGGGUGGAUGGAGAGAGGCCCCCAGCCUAAGGACCCGGGCUCCUGCCUUCCCGCCACCUGCCCAGGAAGCAGUCAUAGAGUGAAAGGGCUCCAGAGGUGAUGCCCACAGCCCUGGGUUUGGCUCCACUCUGACCUCCCUGAAGCACUGGGUUCAGUGGGCACCACUGGCCCACCUCACAGGCUCGGCGUCGGGUGAGCUCGUGGACGCUAAUACUUUCCGUCCACUCUGAGGUGCCGCUCCAGACGUGGGGCCCUCCCAGAGGGCCUCGGAGACACCAUGGGGGAACAGGGAGCGGGGCUCGGUCCCUGGGCCUGAUACAGCGCUGCUGCUCAAUAAAUAAACGCAGGUAGCCUUGCCUGACGCAACAGCUGUGCCUCCAGAGGGGCUGGGACUUGGUGCUGUUUCUGACAUGGAAAUGCACCCAGGAGCUCCUGGCUGAAGGGAAUUGGCUUGUGAAGUGCAUAACCACCCCAAGAGCCAUCUGCUCCACCUCUGGGUGUAAAAGAGUGAGCUCUGGGCUACUGGAGAACCGAGUUCCAGUCCUGCCCACCCACUAAUACAGUGGGACCUUAGGUGAGCACAUUCCCCUCCCAAGACCUCAGCUCCCUGCUUUGAAAUGGGGAGGACAGCACAGGCCACCACCUACUCCUCAGGGGCUCUUGUGAGGGCAGAAGCGCACACUCGAGGUAAAAGCAUUCUGAAAACAAAGUCUGAAAAGCACAAUAGGAAGGCCAGGUCUCAUUGCAUCUGAAGGUUUGCUGGCGACUUCCCUGAAAUGAGGCACCCACAGCUGCUCCCCUUCCCUCACUGCCCCAGGCAGGAGCUGGUGUUUCCUAACUCGCCCACCAGUUGGUCCUGAAGAGGCGAUGGCCCCUUCCCGGGGGCCUCCACCCAGGCAUCAAGGUCUAGACCCAAUCCUGUGUACCCUCAGUCAGCUGGGCCAGUCCCCCAGGAGAGCUAAGUCUCCCUGGCAACCCUCUCCCCAAGACCCAGGCCCAGGAAGUCACUGGCUUAUAGAGGUGGAGCCCAGCGGGGCUAUGCAGCCCAGGGCUUAGAGGCCAGGAAUCCUUGUCCCAGCAGACAUGCACUGGAGCAACGGUGUCCUGUUGCCUGAAGAACAAUGGAGCCCCUAGUUCUUCCCCCUUUGCGCCCUUGCUGAGGGGUCUUGUGUGAGUCACUUCCUGUUUCUGGACCUCAGUUUCCCAACCUCUCAGAUGGGCUACAGCUUGUCCUGCCCAUCUUUUGGGGGCCAUUAGGCUUCAAAGAAAGAAGGGAGGAGGAGGUAUGGGCAGUGGCAGCCCUACCUCAUACUGCCCUGGCUCCAGCUCAGCCUCUAUUGGGAGGAGGGGACCCAGGCUGGGGGUGUCACUGAACACACAGGUGACUCCAGGGGUGGCUUUUCCCCCCAAGCUAGGUCUUGAUUUCCUUGUCUGUAAAAUGGAAAUGGACUAAUGGUCCCAAAGGCCCUUCCCCUUUACUAUGCAAAGGGGGUUCUGGAGAAGGAGAGUGGAGAGGGCUCCUUCCUUUCCAUGGUAUCCUGCAUGUGAUCUUGGCCCAGAGAUUGAAAAGAGUCACUCCCUGGAGACCCCAGCCCCCCUAUGGCCCCCAGUGCCACCCUCUCUGCUCCUCUUCAAACAGUGCGGCCUGAGUCAGCAAGGGGUCAGGCGGUAGUGGGGACAGGAUGGGCUUGAAGCUUCUCCAAAGCUAAUGAUGAAAAUGUCAGUCUCCUCCCCAAACCCCCAUCCCUUGGUGAGGACAGACUGUAGUUCCCACUCCCAAUGGUCACAGCCCCUGGGAAGGGGGCACAUGCUCACGAUGAUACAAAGAAACAGGGCUCCAGCCCCCAGCUGCUCCACCCCUCCAGGAGGUGAGCGGGAUUUCACAGAACAAACAAGAAAAUCAUUGAGGGGGCCCUCACUGACCACCCCCAGGUGUUGUUAUUGCUUCGGAGCUCUCUCUCUCUCUUUAUAAAGGCUGUGCAGACACCAGGGGAAGGGCUCAGGCUGUCAGGGCCAAGCCCCUGCUCCCUCUGGUUGGGACAGCCAGGCUCUGCCCUGUUUUUGAAAAGCUACCCCUGAACAACCACAGCGGUGAUGGCUGGAGAGAGAAGGCGCUCUCCUGGCUCAAAAUAUUCCAAUGGUGAGUAAUAAACGAACAGCAGAGAAAUCACACUGGUUAGAAAAACAAAACAGGCAAGGGGCCAAUUCUGUGCCUCGAAUGUGAGUCCCUCCGGAGCCCUGCUCCUUCUGCCCCCAGCCUUGGGAUUCCACCCACCACGGUCCCAGGAAGCUCUGAAGACUUCCUGGGUAAAGGGAGCAUCUCCAUCUCCCCUUCCCAGUGCAGGGUAAGCAGCUCUGUGGAGGUGAUCUACAUCGACCAGAACUUUAAAGGAUACCCAGGGCUUACACAGGCUAAGGGAAGGGAAGAAUUUCCAGGUGGAAGGAGUUGCCUGGUGGGACUGGGACUGGGACCGGGACUGGGAACAGGGUGGGACCAAAGGCAGCCUGGGUGUCCUCAGGGGAAAACACCACCCUCUGAUGGAGGCCAGGCCCCCUCUGCCAAGGUCCUACAACCCUUAGGAGUGCCUCAUAAAGAAAGUCAGUACCAAGAAUAAUAAAUCAGAACAGCAGAGUCUAACAGGCAGCUCCAGCUAUAACCCUACAGGGCACAGGGGAUGGAAGGGGGCGGAGGAGGAGGGGCUGGCCUCCUGUGAGCCAGGCUGCCCCAUCUAGGCCCAGGCCAGCGAGGAGACAGUGGUCUCCUGGAAUGUACUUGAGUCUCCUCUCCACCCCCGGUCCUGGGACUCUGUAAGGACUAUGCAUGAGCUAAGAACAGGCCCC